GAUGAACGCUAGCGGCAGGCCUAACACAUGCAAGUCGAGGGGUAGAACACUUCGGUGUUUGAGACCGGCGCACGGGUGCGUAACGCGUAUGCAAUCUACCUUGUACAGGGGAAUAGCCCAGAGAAAUUUGGAUUAAUGCCCCAUAGUAUAUAACCUUCGCAUGUUGAUUAUAUUAAAGUUCCAACGGUACAAGAUGAGCAUGCGUCCCAUUAGUUAGUUGGUAAGGUAACGGCUUACCAAGACGAUGAUGGGUAGGGUCCUGAGAGGGAGAUCCCCCACACUGGUACUGAGACACGGACCAGACUCCUACGGGAGGCAGCAGUGAGGAAUAUUGGUCAAUGGUCGCAAGACUGAACCAGCCAUGCCGCGUGCAGGAAGACGGUCCUAUGGAUUGUAAACUGCUUUUAUACAGGAAGAAACCCUCCACGUGUGGGAGCUUGACGGUACUGUAGGAAUAAGGAUCGGCUAACUCCGUGCCAGCAGCCGCGGUAAAACCCAU
This 499-nucleotide ribosomal RNA is filed under the name uncultured bacterium. RNAcentral's name for it is "bacterial SSU rRNA". It matches the Rfam family "Bacterial small subunit ribosomal RNA", at positions 28 to 530 of the family's 1533-position model. The record is from RNAcentral.